GUCUACGGCCAUACCACCCUGAACACGCCCGAUCUCAGAAGCUAAGCAGUGUCAGGCCUGGUUAGUACUUGCACGGGAAAUAGACA
RNAcentral lists this ribosomal RNA (86 nucleotides) under Chinchilla lanigera (long-tailed chinchilla). The record is from RNAcentral. Lineage: Eukaryota; Metazoa; Chordata; Mammalia; Rodentia; Chinchillidae.